UAUUAAACUCACUUCGUCAACGACUGAA
RNAcentral lists this non-coding RNA (28 nucleotides) under Bombyx mori (domestic silkworm). The record is from RNAcentral. Lineage: Eukaryota; Metazoa; Arthropoda; Insecta; Lepidoptera; Bombycidae.